GAAAGGAAGUGGGCAUUAAGGAAAGGAGUUCCCAAGCCUCCGUCCCCACAGAGCCUCUCCCAGCCCACCAACCGCAAUCCUGGAGUGGAAGAACUCCCAACCACUCCCCCCCCCCUCCGGAGGUCUUUCCUGCUGCUUCCAGGCAGAAACAACUGUCCUUCCUUUGACAUGUGCUCUUAUCGUGUUACAGUAUGUAAAAAAUUUACUUGGACAUGUGUCAUCCCUCCUACCAGAUUGGAAUCUACAGGAGCAGGCACUGAGGCCUCCUAGUCACUGCUCUGGGAUACUGAAGAUAGAUUUGGUCUGCCUAGGCACGGGGUCCUCCCACCUGCCUGCUCUUCCAACAACCUCUACACUGCCCCACUUGGCUCUGCCUCCCUUUUCACCCAAACUUGGCCCUCCCAAAAUAAAUCAUUAACUACCCCAUUCCCUGUUCCCUCCAGGCUAGCUCCUGGACAUGCUUCCCCUCCCCUUCCCUCCAACCUCAACCACCCACCUUUCCCCUUAUCCCCUUCCCUGCUGCUCCCUCCCUUCCUUCCUUCAGACUUGGGUACUUCUACCCUUCUCCUACCAGCCCCAAGGCUCUCCCAG
This is a non-coding RNA of Phascolarctos cinereus (koala), 591 nucleotides long. Lineage: Eukaryota; Metazoa; Chordata; Mammalia; Diprotodontia; Phascolarctidae. The record is from RefSeq and is a predicted model, not a curated record.